Molecule: ribosomal RNA, 549 nt
Filed under: uncultured bacterium
Lineage: Bacteria
Description: bacterial SSU rRNA
Rfam family: Bacterial small subunit ribosomal RNA
Source: RNAcentral
ACUGAAUAGAUACCCGGGUAGUCCACGCCCUAAACGAUGUCAACUGGUUGUUGGGAAUUCAUUUUCUCAGUAAACGAAAGCUAAACGCGUGAAGUUGACCGCCUGGGGAGUACGGCCGCAAGGCUAAAACUCAAAGGAAUUGACGGGGACCCGCACAAGCGGUGGAUGAUGUGGUUUAAUUCGAUGCAACGCGAAAAACCUUACCCACCUUUGACAUGUACGGAACUUGCCAGAGAUGGCUUGGUGCCCGAAAGGGAGCCGUAACACAGGUGCUGCAUGGCUGUCGUCAGCUCGUGUCGUGAGAUGUUGGGUUAAGUCCCGCAACGAGCGCAACCCUUGCCAUUAGUUGCUACGAAAGGGCACUCUAAUGGGACUGCCGGUGACAAACCGGAGGAAGGUGGGGAUGACGUCAAGUCCUCAUGGCCCUUAUAGGUGGGGCUACACACGUCAUACAAUGGCUGGUACAGAGGGUUGCCAACCCGCGAGGGGUAGCUAAUCCCACAAAGCCAGUCGUAGUCCGGAUCGCAGUCUGCAACUCGACUGCGUGAA